AGGGAGGGGAGGUAGGUUAGCACUUUGAAAUGUGCACCAAGGCUUUUUUUUUUUUUUAAACUAACAGGUGGCUGCACCAAAGGGUCUGAAUAAUCUCUUAGCCACCAAGGAAUCUGUUUGCUGUUGUCCUGGACCUUUUGGCUUUAACUCCUGACAGUCUAUCAAUAAAUUAUAGGCUUCACUGAAGGCCACAUUUAUUUCUUUUGUAGCCUUAGCUCUGUGCUUUAACUAAACACCUCUAUCUUUUGUUGAAAAGCAUCUACAUGCAUACAACUACCUGAUAAAUGACAGCAUGUCAACGUGCUGUGAUGUCACUGUCAUACUGGCGGUCCCUAAGCCUUUGUUGCCAUGGCAGCCCUCCCUGUUAUUUGUGGUCCUCCAGCCACAUCUCCUCUUCAUUGCUCUCUAGCCCUCCCUCUCUUUUUUCCUUCAUUUCUGAUAAUUUCCCAACCAGUGCUCACCCGAAGAAAACCCAGAAUCCUGCAAGGGGGAAAGUGACCGACAGACACAGCAGGUCAUCUUCAGUAAACCUGCUCAGCCCAUCAGAGGAAGCCUGCUGUCUCAUCAUGUCAGUAGUCCCCCUCUUUGCCUCUGUGGAGCCAUGGUCGCCCACUGGUUUCAACUCUACUACAACUGCACUGAGCCUCCUGAAGCCCACCACGCUCCUCCCUGAAGAGAGCCGCCGCAUGGAACUAUACAUCAUCGUGAUUAUUGUCAUUUUCUGCAUUGUUUGCUUCCUCCUCCUGCUGGCCUUCUUCUAUGCCUCCUGUUUCCAUCUCUCCAUCGGUUUGUCUCGGAAAGAGUCGCGAUCGGCCCGCGGAUGCAGCCCAGAACCAGAGGACACCACAUUCAAGCAGAGCUCAAUUGAAAACCAGUCGGUACAAAAUGCAGUCUGAGCGGGUAGAGCAGGAAAAGUGAUAUCUGUAGGCUCGCUUCUCAUUUUGACUGGAAACUGCAACCACAGACAAACUUUGCAAGCACACAGGUUUGGUGUGUUUUAUAGCUGAAAGAAAAUGGGAAAUAUAAAAUAAAGGAAUGUAGAUUUAA
This is a long non-coding RNA of Fundulus heteroclitus (mummichog), 1047 nucleotides long. RefSeq lists it as uncharacterized. The record is from RefSeq and is a predicted model, not a curated record. Lineage: Eukaryota; Metazoa; Chordata; Actinopteri; Cyprinodontiformes; Fundulidae. The transcript has 2 exons.